Molecule: ribosomal RNA, 300 nt
Filed under: Escherichia coli
Lineage: Bacteria; Pseudomonadati; Pseudomonadota; Gammaproteobacteria; Enterobacterales; Enterobacteriaceae
Description: bacterial LSU rRNA
Rfam family: Bacterial large subunit ribosomal RNA
Source: RNAcentral
GACUGUGAGGUAUGCUGGAGGUAUCAGAAGUGCGAAUGCUGACAUAAGUAACGAUAAAGCGGGUGAAAAGCCCGCUCGCCGGAAGACCAAGGGUUCCUGUCCAACGUUAAUCGGGGCAGGGUGAGUCGACCCCUAAGGCGAGGCCGAAAGGCGUAGUCGAUGGGGAAACAGGUUAAUAUUCCUGUACUUGGUGUUACUGCGAAGGGGGGACGGAGAAGGCUAUGUUGGCCGGGCGACGGUUGUCCCGGUUUAAGCGUGUAGGCUGGUUUUCCAGGCAAAUCCGGAAAAUCAAGGCUGAGG